This 439-nucleotide ribosomal RNA is filed under the name Streptomyces xanthophaeus. RNAcentral's name for it is "bacterial SSU rRNA". It matches the Rfam family "Bacterial small subunit ribosomal RNA", at positions 10 to 453 of the family's 1533-position model. Lineage: Bacteria; Bacillati; Actinomycetota; Actinomycetes; Kitasatosporales; Streptomycetaceae. The record is from RNAcentral.
AGUUUGAUCAUGGCUCAGGACGAACGCUGGCGGCGUGCUUAACACAUGCAAGUCGAACGAUGAAGCCCUUCGGGGUGGAUUAGUGGCGAACGGGUGAGUAACACGUGGGCAAUCUGCCCUUCACUCUGGGACAAGCCCUGGAAACGGGGUCUAAUACCGGAUACCACUCCUGCCUGCAUGGGCGGGGGUUGAAAGCUCCGGCGGUGAAGGAUGAGCCCGCGGCCUAUCAGCUUGUUGGUGGGGUAAUGGCCCACCAAGGCGACGACGGGUAGCCGGCCUGAGAGGGCGACCGGCCACACUGGGACUGAGACACGGCCCAGACUCCUACGGGAGGCAGCAGUGGGGAAUAUUGCACAAUGGGCGAAAGCCUGAUGCAGCGACGCCGCGUGAGGGAUGACGGCCUUCGGGUUGUAAACCUCUUUCAGCAGGGAAGAAGCGA